This is a non-coding RNA of Scenedesmus sp. NREL 46B-D3, 73 nucleotides long. The record is from the annotation of a GenBank genome assembly. NCBI's taxonomy places the organism in Eukaryota, Viridiplantae, Chlorophyta, Chlorophyceae, Sphaeropleales, Scenedesmaceae.
GUCCGCAUGGCGCAAUGGAUAGCGCACUUGACUUCUAAUCAAGGGGUUGCGGGUUCGAGUCCCGCUGCGGAUG